Molecule: ribosomal RNA, 253 nt
Filed under: uncultured bacterium
Lineage: Bacteria
Description: partial 16S ribosomal RNA
Rfam family: Bacterial small subunit ribosomal RNA
Source: RNAcentral
AACGUAGGAUCCGAGCGUUGUCCGGAAUCACUGGGUGUAAAGGGUGCGUAGGCGGGCUUGCGCGUCAAGGGUUAAAGACCUCGGCUCAACCGAGGCAAUGCCCUUGAUACGGCUAGCCUUGAGUGCGGGAGAGGAUGGUGGAAUUCCUGGUGUAGCGGUGAAAUGCGUAGAGAUCAGGAGGAACACCGAAGGCGAAGGCAGCCAUCUGGACCGCCACUGACGCUGAGGCACGAAAGCGUGGGGAGCAAACAGG